UGAGGAAUAUUGGUCAAUGGGCGGGAGCCUGAACCAGCCAAGUAGCGUGAAGGACGACGGCCCUACGGGUUGUAAACUUCUUUUAUAAGGGAAUAAAGUUCGCCACGUGUGGUGUUUUGUAUGUACCUUAUGAAUAAGCAUCGGCUAAUUCCGUGCCAGCAGCCGCGGUAAUACGGAGGAUCCGAGCGUUAUCCGGAUUUAUUGGGUUUAAAGGGAGCGUAGGCGGAUUGUUAAGUCAGUUGUGAAAGUUUGCGGCUCAACCGUAAAAUUGCAGUUGAUACUGGCAGUCUUGAGUGCAGUAGAGGUGGGCGGAAUUCGUGGUGUAGCGGUGAAAUGCUUAGAUAUCACGAAGAACUCCGAUUGCGAAGGCAGCUCACUGGAGUGUAACUGACGCUGAUGCUCGAAAGUGUGGGUAUCAAACAGGAUUAGAUACCCUGGUAGUCCACACAGUAAACGAUGAAUACUCGCUGUUUGCGAUAUACAGUAAGCGGCCAAGCGAAAGCAUUAAGUAUUCCACCUGGGGAGUACGCCGGCAACGGUGAAACUCAAAGGAAUUGACGGGGGCCCGCACAAGCGGAGGAACAUGUGGUUUAAUUCGAUGAUACGCGAGGAACCUUACCCGGGCUUAAAUUGCAAAUGAAUUAUGGGGAAACCCAUACGCCGCAAGGCAUUUGUGAAGGUGCUGCAUGGUUGUCGUCAGCUCGUGCCGUGAGGUGUCGGCUUAAGUGCCAUAACGAGCGCAACCCUUAUCUUCAGUUACUAACAGGUCAUGCUGAGGACUCUGGAGAGACUGCCGUCGUAAGAUGUGAGGAAGGUGGGGAUGACGUCAAAUCAGCACGGCCCUUACGUCCGGGGCUACACACGUGUUACAAUGGGGGGUACAGAAGGCCGCUACCUGGUGACAGGAUGCCAAUCCCAAAAACCUCUCUCAGUUCGGAUCGAAGUCUGCAACCCGACUUCGUGAAGCUGGAUUCGCUAGUAAUCGCGCAUCAGCCAUGGCGCGGUGAAUACGUUCCC
RNAcentral lists this ribosomal RNA (1017 nucleotides) under uncultured bacterium. RNAcentral's name for it is "bacterial SSU rRNA". It matches the Rfam family "Bacterial small subunit ribosomal RNA", at positions 355 to 1375 of the family's 1533-position model. The record is from RNAcentral.